GCAUUGGUGGCUCAAUAGUAGACUUCCUACCUCCCAUACAGGAGACCUAGGUUCAAUUCCUAUUCAAUGCA
This 71-nucleotide transfer RNA is filed under the name Alligator mississippiensis (American alligator). It matches the Rfam family "tRNA". Rfam says of the family: Transfer RNA (tRNA) molecules are approximately 80 nucleotides in length. Their secondary structure includes four short double-helical elements and three loops (D, anti-codon, and T loops). The record is from Rfam by way of RNAcentral. Lineage: Eukaryota; Metazoa; Chordata; Crocodylia; Alligatoridae.